AUAAAAUUUAUUAUCUUUAAGAAAAAAAAAGUAUAUCUUGAUUCUAAAUAUACAACGUGUACAACGAAACAUUUUUUUUGAGCAUAAAGCUAUGAAAAAAAAUAUUUGUCAGAGAAAUUUUUAAAAAAGUUAAAUUAAAAACGCAGUGAACUGAAACAUCUAAGUAGCUGUAGGAAAAGAAAUCAACCGAGAUUUCGGAAGUAGUGGCGAGCGAACCCGAAAAAGCCCAAAAAAUUCCAUUGUCAAAAUAUAGGGUUGAAAUCCCGUUUUAGGAAUUAUUAUUUGUGAGUACUGCGAGGCAUGUGUAACCUUGUAGGAAUAUUAGAAAACCACUUCUAAAGGCUAAAUAUUGUUUAGAAAUCGAUAGUGAAAAAGUACUGUGAAGGAACGAUGAAAAGAUUAUCUAGGUUGAGUGAAAAGAUCUUACAAUUUUUUUUCGAUAAGUAAUCAAAGUUUUUAUAAAAAAUAAUGAUGUACCUUUUGCAUCAUGGGCCAACAAGUUAAAACAUAUAGCAAGCUUAAUUAUAAAAGUAGGCGUAGAGAAAUCGAGUUCGAAAGAAUGUUUAAGUUAUUUGUUUUAGACCCGAAACCAAGUGAUCUAACUAUGAGCAGGUUGAAGUUUUUUGAAAGAAAAAUGGAAGGCCGAACCCGUAUCUGUGGCAAAAGAUUGGGAUGACUUGUAGUUAGGGGUGAAAGGCCAAUCAAACUUGGAGAUAGCUGGUUUUCCGCGAAAUCUAUUUAAGUAGAGCGUCUUUGAAUUUUCGAUAUCUGGGGUAGAGCUCUCGAUGGGUGCGGGGGGCUUCGGCUUUACCAAGCUCACUGAAACUACGAAUACGGAAUAUUUGAACAAAGGCAGACAGACUUUGGGUGCGAAGAUCCUAAGUCAAGAGGGAAACAGCCCUGAAUGCAUAAUAAGGUCUCUAAUUUCUAUUGAGUGAUAAAGGCUAAAAAACUCGAGGAUAAUCAAAAGGUAAGCUUGGAAGCAGCUAUCCUUGAAAGAAGGCGUAAUAGCCCAUUGAGUAAGAGUUUUUUAUCCGAUAAUGUAUUGAGACUAUAUAGAAAACCGAAUUAGCAUAUUAUAUAAUAUAAUGGUAGCGGAAUGAAGUAUAUAUCUAAACAGUUAAAUUGAUAAAUUUAAUUAAGAUUUUACUUAUAAGAAUGUUGGCAUGAGUAACAAAAAAUAACGGUCAAAACAUAAUCGUUAUCACCGAAAAUCCUAGGUUUACAUAGAAAAGAACGACUUCUAUGUGUUAAUCGGUCUCUUAGGGUUACGCGAAAGUUAUACCUGAUGAGAAAUUUUUAUUUCUUUUUUUUAUUCGUUUAUAGAUAAAAAAUAUUUAUCAUAAACCAAGAAAUUCAUUAAAAAUAUAUACAAAAAUAAAACCGUACUAAAACUGAUACAAGUGGAUAGGUAGAAUAUACUAAGGUGUUUGGAAUAACUAUGUUGAAGGAACUCGGCAAAUUAGCUUUGUAACUUCGGAAGAAGAAGUGUCUUUUUUAUAAAAAAGAUAACAUUAAAGAAGGGGGAACGACUGUUUAACAAAAACACAGGACUCUGCAAAAUUGAAAGAUGACGUAUAGGGUCUGACACCUGCCCGGUGCUAAUUAGUUAAAAGGAUAUGUGUAAGCAUUGAAUAAAAGCGUUAGUAAACGGCGGCCGUAACUCUGACGGUCCAAAGGUAGCGAAAUUCCUUGUCGGGUAAGUUCCGACCUGCAUGAAUGGUGUAACGAUUCCCCCACUGUCUCCAACAUAGAUCCAGUGAAAUUAAGAUACCUGUGAAGACGCGGGUUACUCGUGGCUAGACGGAAAGACCCCGUGCACCUUUACUGCAUCUUGUUAUUGUUUUAAGAAAAAAAAUAUGUAGAAAUAGGUGGGAGUUUAUACAUACUUGAAAUACCACUAAUUUUUUUUCGAGAAACUAAUCUGUAUAGAGACAGUAAUAGGUUGGUAGUUUGGCUGGGGCGGCCUCCUCCUAAAAAGUAACGGAGGAGUACAAAAGGUAAGCUCAAAUUAUUUAAAAUUAAUUGAGGAGCGCAAUGGUAAAAGCUUGCUUAACUGAAAGAUUUAUAUAUCUAUCAGGAACGAAAGUUGGUCAUAGUGACCCAAUAGUACUUUGUGGAAAGGCUAUUGCUCAACAAAUAAAAGGUACGCCGGGGAUAACAGGCUAAUGACUCCUAAGAGUCCUUAUCGACGGAGUCGUUUGGCACCUCGAUGUCGGCUCAUCACAUCCUGGGGCUGGAGCAGGUCCCAAGGGUUCGGCUGUUCGCCGAUUAAAGUGGUACGCGAGCUGGGUUCAGAACGUCGUGAGACAGUUCGGUCCCUAUCUACCAUGAGUGUAAGAAAAUUGAGAGACUCCGACCUUAGUACGAGAGGACCGGGAAGGGCUAACCUCUGGUGGAUCAGUUGUUGAAAGGCAUUGCUGAAAAGCUAAGUUAGUAAUGAAUAAUUAUUGAAUUCAUAUAAAUAAGAAGUCAAUCUCAAAAAAAAUUUUCUUUUAAAGUUCGUGAAAGACUAUCACGUGGAUAGGCCUAGGGUGUAAGUUGUGUAAACAAUUUAGCUAAAGGUACUAAUGAAACUGUAAUAAUAAAUUUUAU
Molecule: ribosomal RNA, 2595 nt
Filed under: Cafeteria roenbergensis
Lineage: Eukaryota; Bigyra; Bicosoecida; Cafeteriaceae
Description: large subunit ribosomal RNA
Rfam family: Bacterial large subunit ribosomal RNA
Source: RNAcentral